UCCUAACUAAAUUUUCCAAAAAAAAAAAUUGAAAAAUUUGAGUAACAAAAUUUCACGUGCAGCAAGUUCCCGAUCGCUCAUUGCACAUCAUAACACAAAGUAAGCAAGUAAGCAUCUGCGGUUAUUGUCAUUGAUAUCGAUGAACCAGAGGUAGCCUAAAAGAAUCCGAUUCGGAUAUCCUCCCCCAAUUAGAGAAGUACACUUGAAGAGCUGGCUCACCCUCAACUUUUCACUGGAUUCCCCACCAACUUAAACACGAACUCCAGAAGAGACCUCAAGGAUAAAAUUAUGCGAAAUAUUUGAUGCGUCCCUCUUGGUUUCCUCUGCCAUAAAUAAACCGUUGCGAAGAUAUAUUCCUUGCAAUAUUAUUAACUCCGCAGGUCUUAUGAAAGAUCAAAAUAUGCCUCGGAUAGUAGACGACAUUUUUGAUGAUGACCCUUUGCAGCGUUUGAAGGUUCAUUAUUUGAGGGCAUGCACCUUGAAUUUGCGGUUUCCGCCAAGAAGAAUGAUGGGUUUUACAAGGUCGGAAAAGAAUAAGCACUUUUUAGAGAGACACUAUAGCUCCUUCAGAUGGACGUCGGAUCAUAAUCUGCAUCAGAGCAAAAUUUUUUAACAUAUCGCUGAUUUUGCCGCACACUCCGACGGAAGUAAAAGACGUUGCGACCAGAGAUGCAUGCUAUGAUCAACUAGUAAGAAACUCUGCUCGAUGCACACGCCGUGGGCAAUGAAGGUAUUUUUGCAUAACACUCCGGGAAAUUCACCCUCCAUGACGAAACAUUCACCAACUGUUUCGGUCAGGUCCAGAUUUCGACAGAAGAAAAUUCAUUAAGCUACUUGGCUGUACCCUGAUCGAAACGAACCAAGCCAAAUCGAUCAUAGUAUGAUAAGAUAGAUGGUAGAUAUGUCUCCAGUAUUCUUGAGGUGCGUACACUCCGAUGGCCCUUUGUGUAUCAAAAAACGCCCGCCAACAAACACAAGGAAAGCUCGGCGUCGAGCGUACUUAUCAGUAUAUGGAACUUUGGGACGACAUUACAAACUCCAUACGUAUAGCAGCAAACGAACCUAUGGGAUUUCGGAGAGAUCGCAAAAACAGCUGGUACAAUGGAGACUGACCGUUUCGCAGUGGAGAGAAAGCAGACUGCCUAUCCAUAACUUUGAGAUCAAACAACACACGUGCGACGAGAGGUAGAUACCGAGAGUUUAAGUGAGAUGCAUGAGUAUAAAGAAAUAGAGAAAAUCGCCGACAUGAUAGGCCAUCCAAAAUUCUAUGAGGGAGUAUUCUAAAAUAUUUUAAGACAUGAAUUGUUUGCUGUAAGAAACAAGUAAGUGGAUGAAUAUUCGAGAAAAUUGAGGUCUUACCAAAACAUCCGGGAAUGGCGAACCAGAAGCUUUAAUCGAUAAGACGGUAUAGAGGUAUCAUCACUCGACUAUAAAGAAGAAUAACAAAGUGGCCGGACGCAAUGCCCUUACAGCCUGAGAUAUGAAACUAAAGAGGUGAGGAAACCUAAGUAUUCCCUGCCCAAGUUGCCAAACUGAUAAGACUCCGCAAUAUAUUAUAUAAAGUCAUUCUUAACGUAAUGUAUUUUGUGAAAGAUUAACAUACGUUGUCAACGAACGAGUUAGGCCUUAGCAGCAGUGUGAUCUUUGCACUGAUCCAACAUUGAUCUGAUAUUCA
This 1675-nucleotide long non-coding RNA is filed under the name Ceratitis capitata (Mediterranean fruit fly). RNAcentral's name for it is "uncharacterized LOC110118535". Lineage: Eukaryota; Metazoa; Arthropoda; Insecta; Diptera; Tephritidae. The record is from RNAcentral.